RNAcentral lists this ribosomal RNA (497 nucleotides) under uncultured bacterium. RNAcentral's name for it is "partial 16S ribosomal RNA". It matches the Rfam family "Bacterial small subunit ribosomal RNA", at positions 28 to 507 of the family's 1533-position model. The record is from RNAcentral.
GAUGAACGCUGGCGGCGUGCCUAAUACAUGCAAGUCGAGCGAACGGACUAGAAGCUUGCUUCUCUGAUGUUAGCGGCGGACGGGUGAGUAACACGUUGAUAACCUACCUAUAAGACUGGGAUAACUUCGUGAAACCGGAGCUAAUACCGGAUGAUAUUUUGAACCGCAUGGUUCAAAAGUGAAAGACGGUCUUGCUGUCACUUAUAGAUGGAUCCGCGCUGCAUUAGCUAGUUGGUAAUGUAACGGCUUACCAAGGCAACGAUGCAUAGCCGACCUGAGAGGGUGAUCGGCCACACUGGAACUGAGACAAGGUACAGACUCCUACGGGAGGCAGCAGUAGGGAAUCUUCCGCAAUGGGCGAAAGCCUGACGGUGCAACGCCGCGUGAGUGAUGAAGGUCUUCGGAUCGUAAAACUCUGUUAUUAGGGAAGAACAUAUGUGUAAGUAACUGUGCACAUCUUGACGGUACCUAAUCAGAAAGCCACGGCUAACUACGUG